This 76-nucleotide transfer RNA is filed under the name Candidatus Dormiibacterota bacterium. RNAcentral describes it as "tRNA-Thr". It matches the Rfam family "tRNA". Rfam says of the family: Transfer RNA (tRNA) molecules are approximately 80 nucleotides in length. Their secondary structure includes four short double-helical elements and three loops (D, anti-codon, and T loops). The record is from RNAcentral. Lineage: Bacteria; Bacillati; Candidatus Dormiibacterota. RNAcentral also lists the same sequence under 1 other name.
GCCGGCGUAGCUCAAUCGGCAGAGCAGCCGCCUUGUAAGCGGCAGGUCAUGGGUUCGAUUCCCGUCGCCGGCUCCA